AGCUCUAUACGCUAAGUUAGGCGGACCGUCUCAUAAUCGGUUGGUAGCAUAGAUGCUUAGAGUUU
RNAcentral lists this transfer RNA (65 nucleotides) under Hydroides norvegica. RNAcentral describes it as "tRNA-Met". Lineage: Eukaryota; Metazoa; Annelida; Polychaeta; Sabellida; Serpulidae. The record is from RNAcentral.